This 253-nucleotide ribosomal RNA is filed under the name uncultured bacterium. Its description in RNAcentral is "partial 16S ribosomal RNA". It matches the Rfam family "Bacterial small subunit ribosomal RNA", at positions 524 to 776 of the family's 1533-position model. The record is from RNAcentral.
UACGUAGGUGACAAGCGUUGUCCGGAUUUACUGGGCGUAAAGAGCGCGCAGGCGGUCGUUCAAGUCGGGGGUGAAAGCCCCCGGCUCAACUGGGGAGGGUCAUUCGAUACUGAUCGACUCGAAGGCAGGAGAGGGAAGUGGAAUUCCCGGUGUAGUGGUGAAAUGCGUAGAUAUCGGGAGGAACACCAGUGGCGAAGGCGACUUCCUGGCCUGUUCUUGACGCUGAGGCGCGAAAGCUAGGGGAGCAAACGGG